GCCAGAGUGGUGCAGUGGUUUGAAUCUUGGACUAUGACUCUGGAGACCAGAGUUCGAAACCUGGCUUGGCCA
Non-coding RNA from Phrynosoma platyrhinos (Desert horned lizard), 72 nucleotides. NCBI's taxonomy places the organism in Eukaryota, Metazoa, Chordata, Lepidosauria, Squamata, Phrynosomatidae. The record is from the annotation of a GenBank genome assembly.